GACCCUGUAGCUCAGUUGGUAGAGCAUCUGACUUUUAAUCAGAGGGCCCCGGGUUCGAGUCCCGGCGGGGUCACCA
RNAcentral lists this transfer RNA (76 nucleotides) under Rhodospirillaceae bacterium. RNAcentral's name for it is "tRNA-Lys". It matches the Rfam family "tRNA". From Rfam's summary of the family: Transfer RNA (tRNA) molecules are approximately 80 nucleotides in length. Their secondary structure includes four short double-helical elements and three loops (D, anti-codon, and T loops). Further hydrogen bonds mediate the characteristic L-shaped molecular structure. tRNAs have two regions of fundamental functional importance: the anti-codon, which is responsible for specific mRNA codon recognition, and the 3' end, to which the tRNAs corresponding amino acid is attached (by aminoacyl-tRNA synthetases). tRNAs cope with the degeneracy of the genetic code in two manners: having more than one tRNA (with a specific anti-codon) for a particular amino acid; and 'wobble' base-pairing, i.e. permitting non-standard base-pairing at the 3rd anti-codon position. Lineage: Bacteria; Pseudomonadati; Pseudomonadota; Alphaproteobacteria; Rhodospirillales; Rhodospirillaceae. The record is from RNAcentral.